Molecule: transfer RNA, 72 nt
Organism: Escovopsis weberi
Lineage: Eukaryota; Fungi; Ascomycota; Sordariomycetes; Hypocreales; Hypocreaceae
Rfam family: tRNA
About the family: Transfer RNA (tRNA) molecules are approximately 80 nucleotides in length.
Source: Rfam
UCUCCUGUAGUAUAGUGGAUAGUAUACAAGCUUGUCACGCUUGGGACCCGGGUUCAAUUCCCGGCGGGAGAG